RNAcentral lists this ribosomal RNA (419 nucleotides) under uncultured Ideonella sp. RNAcentral's name for it is "bacterial SSU rRNA". It matches the Rfam family "Bacterial small subunit ribosomal RNA", at positions 8 to 406 of the family's 1533-position model. The record is from RNAcentral. Lineage: Bacteria; Pseudomonadati; Pseudomonadota; Betaproteobacteria; Burkholderiales; Sphaerotilaceae.
AGAGUUUGAUCCUGGCUCAGAUUGAACGCUGGCGGCAUGCUUACACAUGCAAGUCGAACGGUAGGGUAGCAAUACCUGAGAGUGGCGAACGGGUGAGUAAUGCAUCGGAACAUGCCUAUUUGUGGGGGAUAGCCCGGCGAAAGCCGGAUUAAUACCGCAUACGAUCCAAGGAUGAAAGCUGGGGACCGCAAGGCCUAGCGCAAAUAGAGUGGCCGAUGUCAGAUUAGCUAGUUGGUGGGGUAAAGGCCCACCAAGGCAACGAUCUGUAAGCCUGGGGUUUUGGAAAGAAAGAAACCCGAACCCCAAGCCCCACCACCUGGGGGAACCUUGAAGAACACCGGGGCCCCAGACUCCUACGGGAGGCAGCAGUGGGGAAUUUUGGACAAUGGGCGAAAGCCUGAUCAGCAUGCGGUGAGUAG